RNAcentral lists this ribosomal RNA (254 nucleotides) under uncultured bacterium. RNAcentral's name for it is "partial 16S ribosomal RNA". It matches the Rfam family "Bacterial small subunit ribosomal RNA", at positions 524 to 776 of the family's 1533-position model. The record is from RNAcentral.
UACGUAGGGUGCGAGCGUUGUCCGGAAUUACUGGGCGUAAAGAGCUCGUAGGUGGUUUGUCGCGUUGUUCGUGAAAACUCACAGCUCAACUGUGGGCGUGCGGUCGAUACGGGCAUCACUGGAGUUCGGCAGGGGAGACUGGAAUUCCUGGUGUAGCGGUGAAAUGCGCAGAUAUCAGGAAGAACACCCGUGGCGAAGGCGGCUCUCUGGGACGGUACUGACGCUGAGACGCGAAAGCGUGGGGAGCGAACAGG